AUUGAACGCUGGCGGCAUGCUUUACACAUGCAAGUCGAACGGCAGCACGGGCUUCGGCCUGGUGGCGAGUGGCGUACGGGUGAGUAAUAUAUCGGAACGUACCCAGAAGUGGGGGAUAACGUAGCGAAAGUUACGCUAAUACCGCAUACGAUCUAUGGAUGAAAGCAGGGGACCGCAAGGCCUUGUGCUCCUGGAGCGGCCGAUAUCUGAUUAGCUAGUUGGUGAGGUAAAGGCUCACCAAGGCGACGAUCAGUAGCUGGUCUGAGAGGACGACCAGCCACACUGGAACUGAGACACGGUCCAGACUCCUACGGGAGGCAGCAGUGGGGAAUUUUGGACAAUGGGCGCAAGCCUGAUCCAGCAAUGCCGCGUGAGUGAAGAAGGCCUUCGGGUUGUAAAGCUCUUUUGUCAGGGAAGAAACGGUAGAGGCUAAUAUCCUUUGCUAAUGACGGUACCUGAAGAAUAAGCACCGGCUAACUACGUG
Molecule: ribosomal RNA, 484 nt
Filed under: uncultured bacterium
Lineage: Bacteria
Description: partial 16S ribosomal RNA
Rfam family: Bacterial small subunit ribosomal RNA
Source: RNAcentral